This 253-nucleotide ribosomal RNA is filed under the name uncultured bacterium. RNAcentral describes it as "partial 16S ribosomal RNA". It matches the Rfam family "Bacterial small subunit ribosomal RNA", at positions 524 to 776 of the family's 1533-position model. The record is from RNAcentral.
UACGAAGGGGGCGAGCGUUGUUCGGAUUUACUGGGCGUAAAGGGCGCGCAGGCGGCUUUGUUUGUCAGGCGUGAAAGCCCCGGGCUUAACCUGGGAACUGCGUUUGUGACUGCAUCGCUGGAGUGCGGCAGAGGGGGAUGGAAUUCCGCGUGUAGCAGUGAAAUGCGUAGAUAUGCGGAGGAACACCGAUGGCGAAGGCAAUCCCCUGGGCCUGCACUGACGCUCAUGCACGAAAGCGUGGGGAGCAAACAGG